GCCAGCCCUAAACUUAGAUAGCAAAAUACACCCUAUCCGCCAGAGAACUACAAGCAAUAUACUUAAAACUCAAAGGACUUGGCGGCAUUCCAUAUCAACCUAGAGGAGCCCGUCCAAUAAUCGAUAAUACGCGCUCAACCCAACCAUUUUUGGCCACUCCAGCCUAUAUACCGCCGUCGCCAGCUAACCUUGUGAAAGAAAAGUAGUAAGCACAACAGCCCUCGCUAAUACGUCAGGUCAAGGUGUAGCUAAUAAAAUGGAUGAGAUAGGCUACAUUUUCUAUUAUAGAAAACACGAAAGAUACAAUGAAACCUUGUAACAGAAGGUGAAUUUAGAAGUAAAAUAAGAAAUGACCCUUAUUUUAAUAUUGCCCUGGAAUGAGCACACACCGCCCGUCACCCUCCUCAAAAAACAAGAUGAGGCAAGUCGUAACAUGGUAAGCGUACUGGAAAGUGCGCUUGGAUUUU
This 467-nucleotide ribosomal RNA is filed under the name Namazonurus lawrenci. RNAcentral's name for it is "partial 12S small subunit ribosomal RNA". It matches the Rfam family "Bacterial small subunit ribosomal RNA", at positions 795 to 1524 of the family's 1533-position model. Lineage: Eukaryota; Metazoa; Chordata; Lepidosauria; Squamata; Cordylidae. The record is from RNAcentral.